Long non-coding RNA from Hyla sarda, 846 nucleotides. RefSeq lists it as uncharacterized. The record is from RefSeq and is a predicted model, not a curated record. Lineage: Eukaryota; Metazoa; Chordata; Amphibia; Anura; Hylidae. The transcript is spliced from 3 exons.
UUGUGUGAAAAAACAAUGUCUGGAAUGAGAGAAAUUGUGUCUGUGGUGUCUGGGAGAGAGGAUGGUGACGGUGAGCGUGCUGUUGUGGAUGCGAGUGAUAGAGCAUGUGUGAGUGAGCGUGCUGUUGUGGAUGUGAGUGAUAGAGCAUGUGUGAGUGAGCGUGCUGUUGUGGAUGUGAGUGAAAGAGCAUGUGUGAGUGAGCGUGCGGAUGAUGUGUCUGAGUGUAGUGGUGGCGUGGAGAGGAGAGGAGGAGUAAAGUCUGAGCAGGUCCAAUCGCAAGACAAAGUGGUUGGACAAUAUCGGACUCUGGCAGUGGCAGCCACACAUCUGAGUCUGAGAGUCUGCACUCAGUGGGAGUCCCACCAGCCAAAAAACAAAGAGGGACGAAAUUCACGGAGGCUGAGAACGUAGCACUGGUGGCUGCUGUUAGCACAGAAAAAUCUGUGUUAUUCAACACGACAGUGGGCACCCAGGAGAAGAUAGCCGCCUGGAGCCGGGUGAGGGAGAAAGUGUCCCAAGUUGGAAGUGGCACAGCGGAUAGGACAGUUCUCUGCAUCAGGCAUCGGUACUAUGACUGCAGGGCAUCAGUAGUUAAAAAAAUAAAAAAAAGCAGCAGCAGAGGAGGAACAUCACCUUCAAGAACUGGGAGCUGGAGUUGAAGAAGCACCUCCUGCCAGAGGCUCAGACAUCUGAGGCAGAGAGAUCUGGGUUAGAUGACAAGAACACAACUGUUCACCAGCUAUCCCCAGUCCACCCAGUCCACUAUCUCCAACCCCAGCACCCGCAUCUGUCCCAAUGGACACGUACCUUAGGGUACUCCAAGAAAGGGACAGGUUGUCCAGGGAG